RNAcentral lists this ribosomal RNA (433 nucleotides) under uncultured bacterium. RNAcentral's name for it is "partial 16S ribosomal RNA". It matches the Rfam family "Bacterial small subunit ribosomal RNA", at positions 29 to 507 of the family's 1533-position model. The record is from RNAcentral.
AACGAACGCUGGCGGCAUGCCUAACACAUGCAAGUCGAACGAGACCUUCGGGUCUAGUGGCGCACGGGUGCGUAACGCGUGGGAACCUGCCCUUAGGUUCGGAAUAACUCCCCGAAAGGGGUGCUAAUACCGGAUAAUGUCUUCGGACCAAAGAUUUAUCGCCUUUGGAUGGGCCCGCGUUGGAUUAGCUUGUUGGUAGGGUAAAAGCCUAUCAAGGCGACGAUCCAUAGCUGGUCUGAGAGGAUGGUCAGCCACACUGGGACUGAGACACGGCCCAGACUCCUACGGGAGGCAGCAGUGGGGAAUAUUGGACAAUCGGCGAAAGCAUGAACCAGCAAUGCCGCGUGAGUGAUGAAGGCCUUAGGGUUGUAAAGCUCUUUUACCCGGGAUGAUAAUGACAGUACCGGGAGAAUAAGCUCCGGCUAACUCCGUG